Molecule: long non-coding RNA, 1309 nt
Filed under: Oryza sativa tropical japonica subgroup
Lineage: Eukaryota; Viridiplantae; Streptophyta; Magnoliopsida; Poales; Poaceae
Description: lncRNA OsCMeo_10g0003400
Source: RNAcentral
ACAUCCUCGCUGCCUCCCUGCCAAAAAUCCCCAAAUCCUCCUCUUCUCGCCGCCGCCGCCGCGCUGUCUUCCUCCCGCCACGCCGCAGCGCCGCCUUCCUCCCGCGACGCCCGGCCGGCGCCGUCUUCGUCCCGCGGCACCCGGUCGGCGCCGCGGCGCCCGGACGGCGCCGUCUUCGUCCCGCGGCUCCCGGCCGUCGCCGCCGCGCCCUCGGUGACUGUGGCGGCUACGAAGCACGGCGCCACCACCACUAUCCCGAUCUGCCUCUCUGUCCCCUUACCCAAGUUCUCAAGUUCAAGGCUUGUAGGUUCCAGCUGCAUGGCAAUUGCUCUUUGGUGUUCCUCUACCUGUUAUUUCCUGGUAUUAUUUCAGUUAUUUUAGUAGUUCCUUGGGAAUUCUUAUUUGUUGUCUAAUCUUUAUCUCCGUAUACAUGAUCAUCAUUUAAUUGUACUGGUAAACAUCAUUCCCUACUCUAUUUUUUAUUGCACCAAGUAGUAUGCAUAAACUGUUAUUCAGUUAAACUAUAGCAUAUAUUUUUGUAUGUGUCUAUGUAUAUAUAUAUAUUUGGCAGUUUCUCACUAGCCAUUUUCGUUCUCUGGGAUUGCAAAGAGCACAAUAAGAGGCAAGCAUUGGACCUUAACUAACAGGAUAACCAAAUAUUGUGAUAGCAUUUUAAUGGUUUGUUCCAUAUUUUGUAAAUCAUGGAUUUAUGGUUUGAUACACGUUUUCAUUGAUUCUUCUACGACCACCAGCCAGGUAAUUUCAAGCUAUUAUAUAUAUACUGAUGCUACAUAUUACUCAACAUGAUUUACAAAAUUAGAAACUGUUUCAUUCCGUUGAAAAUAUAUUUUUAACAGUUACGUGGGAUAUGCAUGGUGUUCAUUAUUUUAUAUAUCAUGUACUAAGAACAUAUUGAUGCUCUUCAUCAAGGUUAAAAGGUGGAUCUACUUCCCUUUUUCUUUUAUUGGUGGCUAAAGUAGAUUGAUGCUAAUUAUUGACAAGCUGGCAAGAAUAUUGAACUCUCAUAUCUGCAGAACUGGCUACAAAUUCAUAGGUUCUGGAUCAUGGAGAAGUAAACCUUGAUUUCUAUUUGUUUUUUUUUCAUGGCCGUCUUAGUAUAGAUUGUAAAAUAUGUACAAUAUAAGUUGCAAUUACUACCUGUGAUGUGCUGACACAGUUUUGAUUGACUAUCCUUCCAAUUAAUCAUCGCCCCAUUGGUCUUCCUGGGUACAGCUAGGUAUUGAAAUACAAAUGUUGUUUAUUUUACUCACGUUGUAAUUGUACUAUGCACCGAGAUACCCAUUGUUAG